Molecule: ribosomal RNA, 452 nt
Filed under: uncultured Rikenellaceae bacterium
Lineage: Bacteria; Pseudomonadati; Bacteroidota; Bacteroidia; Bacteroidales; Rikenellaceae
Description: bacterial SSU rRNA
Rfam family: Bacterial small subunit ribosomal RNA
Source: RNAcentral
GCGGAGGAACAUGUGGUUUAAUUCGAUGAUACGCGAGGAACCUUACCUGGGCUAGAACGCAUUCGGAAUCAGGCCGAAAGGCCUGCGCCAGCGAUGGCCGCUUGCGAGGUGCUGCAUGGUUGUCGUCAGCUCGUGCCGUGAGGUGUCGGGUUAAGUCCCAUAACGAGCGCAACCCCUACUGCUAGUUGCCAGCGGGUCAUGCCGGGGACUCUAGCGGAACUGCCAGCGUAAGCUGCGAGGAAGGUGGGGAUGACGUCAAAUCAGCACGGCCCUUACGUCCAGGGCUACACACGUGUUACAAUGGCCGGUACAGAGGGCAGCCACCCCGCGAGGGGGCGCGAAUCCGAAAGCCGGUCCCAGUUCGGAUUGAAGUCUGCAACUCGACUUCAUGAAGCUGGAAUCGCUAGUAAUCGUGGAUCAGCCAAGCCGCGGUGAAUACGUUCCCGGGCCUU